GCCCUUGUGAAUUGUAGGUUUGUGACAUGGAAGUGAACCGCUGCACUCAAUGUGACCACGGCAACUGUUGAGAGAAGAGGGGGGUCUGCUGUGCAACACGAAACAGAGAGUGUCUGUUUAAGGAGAGCUGGAGUGGCACCUGUCCCAGCCGCAGAGACAGCACAACGUGGGGCCAAGCAGACGAAUAAUGUGAAACGAUGAGAGACAGCUGAUGACAACGAAAUCAGAUUAGCAGAAAAACAAGUACAAGGUACAUACCACAGGAGCACCUAAAGCCACCCAGUGCCUGCAGUCAGACCCCGGUGGUGACAGAGUCAGCUGUCCUGUCUUUUUUGCCCUUCUCUGUCGCCAUUAAUUUCCCACAAAGGCCCCCAGUGACAGUUCCCUCAUGGUGGCCAUACUUGGAAAGAAGGUGCAUGACAGACACGGGGAGAAUGGGAUACACAAUUUGGGCUCAUGAAAACAGCACUGAGGGACCACAGAGAGGGAGAGGGAAAAAAGGAAAACCUUUGCACUUCCUUGCAAUUAUUCUGUUAAAUCAUGGCUUCUUAUACAUUUUAAAUGCAGUAAAAAUAAAAAAGUAAAAAUAUAAACACUACCUACAAUAAAUUCAAUGCAUCCUUGCUAAAUAAAAUUAUUAAUUUCCUUGAAUUUUUUUUUGCCAUCCCCAUAUUUGGAACAGUAGUGUAGUUAUUUAAAAAUAUGUAAAUAUACAGAGGUGUAAUAUUUGAGUGACUGUCUUGUCAG
Long non-coding RNA from Cyprinus carpio carpio, 747 nucleotides. NCBI's taxonomy places the organism in Eukaryota, Metazoa, Chordata, Actinopteri, Cypriniformes, Cyprinidae. The record is from Ensembl.